UACGGAGGGGGUUAGCGUUGUUCGGAAUGACUGGGCGUAGAGCGCGCGUAGGCGGGCUGGAAAGUUGGGGGUGAAAUCCCGGGGCUCAACCCCGGAAUGGCCUUCAAAACUCCCAGCCUAGAGUUCGAGAGAGGUGAGUGGAAUUCCGAGUGUAGAGGUGAAAUUCGUAGAUAUUCGGAGGAACACCAGUGGCGAAGGCGGCUCACUGGCUCGACACUGACGCUGAGGUGCGAAAGCGGGGGGAGCAAACAGG
This 253-nucleotide ribosomal RNA is filed under the name uncultured bacterium. RNAcentral describes it as "partial 16S ribosomal RNA". It matches the Rfam family "Bacterial small subunit ribosomal RNA", at positions 524 to 776 of the family's 1533-position model. The record is from RNAcentral.